This 531-nucleotide ribosomal RNA is filed under the name uncultured bacterium. RNAcentral describes it as "bacterial SSU rRNA". It matches the Rfam family "Bacterial small subunit ribosomal RNA", at positions 8 to 521 of the family's 1533-position model. The record is from RNAcentral.
AGAGUUUGAUUAUGGCUCAGGAUGAACGCUAGCGACAGGCUUAACACAUGCAAGUCGAGGGGCAGCGGGGCGGCAGGCUUGCCUGCCGUUGCCGGCGACCGGCGCACGGGUGAGUAACACGUAUGCAACCUGCCCGUGGCAGGGGGAUAAGCGGGGGAAACCCCGUCUAAUACCGCGUAACGCGGCCUAGGGACAUCCCAAGGCCGCCAAAGGGAGCAAUCCCGGCCACGGAUGGGCAUGCGGCGCAUUAGCUAGUCGGCGGGGUAACGGCCCACCGAGGCGACGAUGCGUAGGGGUUCUGAGAGGAAGGCCCCCCACACUGGUACUGAGACACGGACCAGACUCCUACGGGAGGCAGCAGUGAGGAAUAUUGGUCAAUGGGCGCGAGCCUGAACCAGCCAAGUCGCGUGAGGGAGGACGGCCCUACGGGUUGUAAACCUCUUUUGCCGGGGAGCAACGGGCGCCACGUGUGGCGCCACUGAAAGUACCCGGAGAAAAAGCAUCGGCUAACUCCGUGCCAACAGCCGCGGU